GACAAUGGGCGCAAGCCUGAUCCAGCAAUACCGCGUGCAGGAUGAAGGCCUUCGGGUUGUAAAGCUGCUUUAGUACGGAGCGAAAAGGCUCUGUCUAAUACAGGGGGUUCAUGACGGUACCGUAAGAAUAAGCACCGGCUAACUACGUGCCAGCAGCCGCGGUAAUACGUAGGGUGCAAGCGUUAAUCGGAAUUACUGGGCGUAAAGCGUGCGCAGGCGGUCUUGUAAGUCAGGUGUGAAAUCCCCGGGCUUAACCUGGGAACUGCACUUGAGACUGCAAGGCU
This 284-nucleotide ribosomal RNA is filed under the name uncultured Curvibacter sp. Its description in RNAcentral is "partial 16S ribosomal RNA". It matches the Rfam family "Bacterial small subunit ribosomal RNA", at positions 367 to 642 of the family's 1533-position model. Lineage: Bacteria; Pseudomonadati; Pseudomonadota; Betaproteobacteria; Burkholderiales; Comamonadaceae. The record is from RNAcentral.